This 468-nucleotide ribosomal RNA is filed under the name uncultured bacterium. RNAcentral's name for it is "partial 16S ribosomal RNA". It matches the Rfam family "Bacterial small subunit ribosomal RNA", at positions 28 to 507 of the family's 1533-position model. The record is from RNAcentral.
GACGAACGCUGGCGGCGUGCUUAACACAUGCAAGUCGAACGGUGAGGCCCUGCUGUUGUGGGGUGCUCGAGUGGCGAACGGGUGAGUAACACGUGAUUCACCUGCCCUUGACUUUGGGAUAACUUCAUGAGACUGAUGCUAAUACCGGAUAGGAGCUCCUGCUGCAUGGUGGGGGUUGGAUAGUUUCGGCGGUUGGGGAUGGACCCGCGUCUUAUCAGCUUGUUGGUGGGGUAGUGGCCUACCAAGGCCUUGACGGGUAGCCGGCCUGAGAGGGUGACCGGCCACACUGGGACUGAGAUACGGCCCAGACUCCUACGGGAGGCAGCAGUGGGGAAUAUUGCACAAUGGGCGGAAGCCUGAUGCAGCAACGCCGCGUGCGGGAUGACGGCCUUCGGGUUGUAAACCGCUUUCGCCAGUGACGAAGCGUAAGUGACGGUAAUUGGUAAAGAAGCACCGGCUAACUACGUG